UAGCAGAAAAUCAAGUCAAUAUGGACGUGAAUCGUACAUGCAGAUAAAAGACUCCAGACCGCUUAGUGAUAAAUCUUAUCAGCAUCAAGAAAUACAAGACAUAUUGCAGUUUCUUUCGGUCAACGAUUACCAGCAUCCAAUCUCCAUGAAGAAAAUGACGAUUCCAACGAGCAAAGAGUUCCUGAAAGUAUUUUCCUUCCUUUAUAGCCAUAUCAGUCCAACGGACACAUAUA
Long non-coding RNA from Xenia sp. Carnegie-2017, 233 nucleotides. RefSeq lists it as uncharacterized. The transcript has 4 exons. The record is from RefSeq and is a predicted model, not a curated record. NCBI's taxonomy places the organism in Eukaryota, Metazoa, Cnidaria, Anthozoa, Malacalcyonacea, Xeniidae.